AUUGAACGCUGGCGGCAGGCCUAACACAUGCAAGUCGAGCGGAAACGACACUAACAAUCCUUCGGGUGCGUUAAUGGGCGUCGAGCGGCGGACGGGUGAGUAAUGCCUAGGAAAUUGCCUUGAUGUGGGGGAUAACCAUUGGAAACGAUGGCUAAUACCGCAUAAUGCCUACGGGCCAAAGAGGGGGACCUUCGGGCCUCUCGCGUCAAGAUAUGCCUAGGUGGGAUUAGCUAGUUGGUGAGGUAAUGGCUCACCAAGGCGACGAUCCCUAGCUGGUCUGAGAGGAUGAUCAGCCACACUGGAACUGAGACACGGUCCAGACUCCUACGGGAGGCAGCAGUGGGGAAUAUUGCACAAUGGGCGAAAGCCUGAUGCAGCCAUGCCGCGUGUAUGAAGAAGGCCUUCGGGUUGUAAAGUACUUUCAGUUGUGAGGAAGGGGGUARYGUUAAUAGCGYUAUCUCUUGACGUUAGCAACAGAAGAAGCA
RNAcentral lists this ribosomal RNA (485 nucleotides) under Vibrio pomeroyi. Its description in RNAcentral is "bacterial SSU rRNA". It matches the Rfam family "Bacterial small subunit ribosomal RNA", at positions 30 to 492 of the family's 1533-position model. Lineage: Bacteria; Pseudomonadati; Pseudomonadota; Gammaproteobacteria; Vibrionales; Vibrionaceae. The record is from RNAcentral.